AUUGAACGCUGGCGGCAGGCCUAACACAUGCAAGUCGAGCGGAUGACGGGAGCUUGCUCCUUGAUUCAGCGGCGGACGGGUGAGUAAUGCCUAGGAAUCUGCCUGGUAGUGGGGGACAACGUUUCGAAAGGAACGCUAAUACCGCAUACGUCCUACGGGAGAAAGCAGGGGACCUUCGGGCCUUGCGCUAUCAGAUGAGCCUAGGUCGGAUUAGCUAGUUGGUGGGGUAAUGGCUCACCAAGGCGACGAUCCGUAACUGGUCUGAGAGGAUGAUCAGUCACACUGGAACUGAGACACGGUCCAGACUCCUACGGGAGGCAGCAGUGGGGAAUAUUGGACAAUGGGCGAAAGCCUGAUCCAGCCAUGCCGCGUGUGUGAAGAAGGUCUUCGGAUUGUAAAGCACUUUAAGUUGGGAGGAAGGGCAGUAAGUUAAUACCUUGCUGUUUUGACGUUACCGACAGAAUAAGCACCGGCUAACUCUGUGCCAGCCGCCGCCGUAA
RNAcentral lists this ribosomal RNA (500 nucleotides) under uncultured bacterium. Its description in RNAcentral is "partial 16S ribosomal RNA". It matches the Rfam family "Bacterial small subunit ribosomal RNA", at positions 30 to 523 of the family's 1533-position model. The record is from RNAcentral.